Molecule: non-coding RNA, 72 nt
Organism: Corynebacterium sphenisci DSM 44792
Lineage: Bacteria; Bacillati; Actinomycetota; Actinomycetes; Mycobacteriales; Corynebacteriaceae
Source: Rfam
CCCCGGCACACCCCCCCGAGGCCGGGUUACAGACGCCCCGCGCUAAUCCCCCCCCAGCGCGGGGCGUCGCUA